RNAcentral lists this small RNA (132 nucleotides) under Escherichia coli. RNAcentral describes it as "RtT sRNA". It matches the Rfam family "RtT RNA". From Rfam's summary of the family: This family represents a bacterial cis-regulatory element known as RtT RNA. The exact function of RtT is unknown although it is thought that it may be involved in changing the cellular response in relation to amino acid starvation. Lineage: Bacteria; Pseudomonadati; Pseudomonadota; Gammaproteobacteria; Enterobacterales; Enterobacteriaceae. The record is from RNAcentral.
AUUCUGCCCAAGCGGGGAAGGAUGAGAAGCUUCGACCAAGGUUCGACUUGAGCGCCAGCGAGAGAGCGUUGCCGCAGGCAACGACCCGAAGGGUGAGGAGCGAAGCGACGAAUAAUCCUUCCCCCACCACCA